This 378-nucleotide long non-coding RNA is filed under the name Rattus norvegicus (Norway rat). RNAcentral's name for it is "long non-coding RNA NONRATT008321". Lineage: Eukaryota; Metazoa; Chordata; Mammalia; Rodentia; Muridae. The record is from RNAcentral.
CACUGAGCCAUGUCUCCAGACCUCUCUCUGUUGAGUUUUUGCAUUCAUUUGAGAAAAACGCCUUUUGUUAUUUCCGUUCCUAUUGGCUUUUUAAAAUACAUACAUACAUACAUACAUACAUACACACACACAGACAGACAGACAGACAGACAGACAGACAGACAGACAGACAUACUACCCCAAACAAGUAUUUCUCACUGUAGAAAUAACCAAGUCAAUGACCAGGUGAGGCAAAUCACAAGAUUUGUCUGCGGUAGUUUUAUUUGCCAAAAUUUAAGAAUACCCACAGAAUGUUGGGGGCUUAUAGAAAGAUUACAGUAGCUAGAAUAAUCCUGUGGUCAAAUUAGGGCCAAUUAAGAAUCAAAGUAAAUAUCAAGC